GCGAUGAAAGUUAAUAAAAAAUUUGAUUAAGGUGGACAAAUUUUAUUACGAUGGGUGACAGUGGUUACAAGGACCCAAAAUUAUUUUUUUAAAAUUUAACUCGAACAAAUAUAUUCGAUUUGAUUCGAUUCGAAUUCCAUCUCAGUCGACUCGAUUUGAGAAAAUUUCAAAUCAAAUUAGGAUGAUAAAAUAUGAUUCGUCAACUCGAUUAACUCAAAAUUUUUUUAUUCGAUUCGAUUGAACACUCACCCCUAAUUAAAAUAAUAUGAUAAAAUUUUACGAACCUAAUGAUAGUCUUUCUGCAUCAAUGUAUUUGCUUCUUUCUUUAGGGCGUGUGGUGCCACCAGCAGUAGUUAUAAUGGGUCAAGUCCUCCCAUCUUCAAUAGCUUCCCAAGCUUCUUCAUUGAUAGACACAAUGAAAGUCCUCAUGUGAGCCUUCCAAUAAACAUAGUUUGCUGAAUCAAGUAGCAACGACGGCCGAGUAAUCGAACUACCUUCACGGAUCCCAUGAUCAUAAACCGAACAAAGGAUCACCUUCAAAUAACUUUUGAAGAUAGAUCUGAUACCAAUUGAGAAAAAAUAAUUAAUCUACCGAUAUGAUAAAUCAAAUUUGUUUAAUGUUCGUUGUAAUGACAAUUAGAAUGAAAACAUACAACGAAAAGAAUAAGGCUAGAAAAGAAUUGACAUAAUCGAUCUUUGUUAACGCAUUUCAGACACCCUUGAAUAAAUC
This 730-nucleotide long non-coding RNA is filed under the name Gossypium raimondii (Peruvian cotton). Its description in RNAcentral is "long non-coding RNA (GRAI_LNC007265)". The record is from RNAcentral. Lineage: Eukaryota; Viridiplantae; Streptophyta; Magnoliopsida; Malvales; Malvaceae.